Labeo rohita (rohu) is the source of this 826-nucleotide long non-coding RNA. RefSeq lists it as uncharacterized. The record is from RefSeq and is a predicted model, not a curated record. The transcript is spliced from 3 exons. NCBI's taxonomy places the organism in Eukaryota, Metazoa, Chordata, Actinopteri, Cypriniformes, Cyprinidae.
UUCAGUUUAAAUGGUUCUUUGUGUAUAUUUUUCAGUUUCUAUGUGGUAAGGGGUGAAUAAAUUAACCAUCAGUGUAAUUAAAAUCAGUGUAAAUGGCUGCAUGAAAAGAUGUCUGUGAAUUUUAUUGUUUGACAAUCAUUGUCAUUUUAUGCAGAAGCAAAAGUUUAUAGUUAAACCGUAGUGCUUCCCACUGAGCAAACGUACGUCCAGAUGACGUCAUUUCAACGUCUUUGUCGGAAUAUAGACAUGAUCUGCACGUCGGGUGGACGUCUCAUGUUUGUUGGAUCUUGGACUCCAAAAGUGAUUUGCAGAAGACAUCUUGGAAUGCAUGGGGCUGGAUUUUCUGAUGCUUACUGCUCGCAUCUCUGCCUCCUGAACAGAAAUGCCUUGCUGGAUGUUGAAUGACCAUCAACUCAACCUUGCCAAGACAAAACUGCUCAUGUUUUCAGCCAGACCAACCUUGGUGUUAAAAUGGACACAUAUGAACUUCAUUGACCACAUCACAGUGGCCCAAUCCUGCAGAUUUGCCCUUAUGGGGCAUGCAACAGAACUGCUUGUCCAAGCUCUUAUUUUCUCUCCAUUCACAUCACAUCACAAAGAGGUACAAAUUCACUUUCACAGACCUUUACUUUGACUGUUUGAUGCUGUCGUUAUAAACUGCCUAACUCUGCCCAUUUUCAAGAAAUGGCUAAAAAAUUAUUUUUUUUGUUUUUCAUGAACACUUGACCAAUUAAACAGGUAGUUCACCCAAAAAUCGAUUCACUCGCGAUUUACUCACCCUCAAUCCAUUGUAUGUGUACAUGACUUUCUUCUUUCAGACAAACAC